Molecule: long non-coding RNA, 304 nt
Filed under: Ananas comosus (pineapple)
Lineage: Eukaryota; Viridiplantae; Streptophyta; Magnoliopsida; Poales; Bromeliaceae
Description: long non-coding RNA (ACOM_LNC033999)
Source: RNAcentral
AAAUUUUCUUCUUCUUCUUCUUCUUCUUUUUAAGGAAAAGAUAACAUAUUACCUGCUUUAUUUAUUGAAAAGAUGAAUUGAGCUAUAAGGGUAAGGCCACAUGAUGUCUCAAACAAGACGGACAUGAAAAAAAAAAAAAAAACUUGUAUAAAAUCUUGUAGACUGUUAGUGCUGUUUUGCUGAAAGAAUUUGGCCCCACAGAUUCAUUAAUUGUUUAAUCUUGUAGAUGGCGAGAAAAGAAUUUGACUGAGCCUUCCUACAGAUCGUGCCGUUUCUGAUCUCCCAAAUGACGCAUUAGCAGGUU